This 253-nucleotide ribosomal RNA is filed under the name uncultured bacterium. RNAcentral describes it as "partial 16S ribosomal RNA". It matches the Rfam family "Bacterial small subunit ribosomal RNA", at positions 524 to 776 of the family's 1533-position model. The record is from RNAcentral.
UACGUAGGGGGCAAGCGUUGUCCGGAAUCAUUGGGCGUAAAGCGCGUGUAGGCGGCCAGAGAAGUCCGCUGUGAAAACUCGAGGCUCAACUUCGAGCUGUCGGUGGAAACUUUCUGGCUAGAGUCCGGAAGAGGAGAAUGGAAUUCCUGGUGUAGCGGUGAAAUGCGCAGAUAUCAGGAAGAACACCCGUGGCGAAGGCGGUUCUCUGGGACGGUACUGACGCUGAGACGCGAAAGCGUGGGGAGCGAACAGG